RNAcentral lists this ribosomal RNA (331 nucleotides) under uncultured bacterium. RNAcentral describes it as "bacterial SSU rRNA". It matches the Rfam family "Bacterial small subunit ribosomal RNA", at positions 29 to 355 of the family's 1533-position model. The record is from RNAcentral.
AGUGAACGCUGGCGGCAGGCCUAACACAUGCAAGUCGAACGGCAGCACGGCAGUAGCAAUACUGUGGGUGGCGAGUGGCGGACGGGUGAGGAAUACAUCGGGAUCUACCCUGUUGUGGGGGAUAACGUAGGGAAACUUACGCUAAUACCGCAUAAGAACUGAGGUUGAAAGCGGCGGACCGCAAGGCGUCGCGCGAUUGGAUGAACCGAUGUCCGAUUAGCUAGUUGGCGGGGUAAAGGCCCACCAAGGCGACGAUCGGUAGCUGGUCUGAGAGGACGACCAGCCACACUGGAACUGAGACACGGUCCAGACUCCUACGGGAGGCAGCAGU